CCUACGGGAGGCAGCAGUGGGGAAUAUUGCGCAAUGGACGAAAGUCUGACGCAGCGACGCCGCGUGAGGGAUGAAGGUUUUCGGAUCGUAAACCUCCGUCAGGAGGGAAGAAAGCGCAUGGCGCCAAUCAGCCAUUCGUUGACGGUACCUCCAAAGGAAGCGCCGGCUAAAUCCGUGCCAGCAGCGUCGGUAAAACGGAGGGCGCGAGCGUUAAUCGGAAUUACUGGGCGUAAAGCGCGCGUAGGUUGUUUGGUAAGUUGCGGGUGAAAUCCCAGGGCUCAACCGUGGAGCAGCCGUUGAUACUGGGCGACUUGAAUGCGGGAGAGGGUGGCGGAAUUCCAGGUGUAGGAGUGAAAGCCGUAGAUAUCUGGAGGAACAUCAGUGGCGAAGGCGGCCACCUGGACCGGUAUUGACGCUGAGGCGCGAAAGCGUGGGGAGCAAACAGGAUUAGAUACCCUUGUAGUC
RNAcentral lists this ribosomal RNA (465 nucleotides) under uncultured bacterium. RNAcentral describes it as "partial 16S ribosomal RNA". It matches the Rfam family "Bacterial small subunit ribosomal RNA", at positions 338 to 795 of the family's 1533-position model. The record is from RNAcentral.